Molecule: unclassified non-coding RNA, 199 nt
Filed under: fungal sp.
Lineage: Eukaryota; Fungi
Also listed under: 1 other name
Description: partial internal transcribed spacer region
Rfam family: Eukaryotic small subunit ribosomal RNA (bases 1-46)
Source: RNAcentral
AAGUCGUAACAAGGUUUCCGUAGGUGAACCUGCGGAAGGAUCAUUACAGUGUUAGGCUUCGGCCUCAUUCACGCCCCUUGUUGAACCUCUGGUUUCUUUGGCGAUGUCAUGGACUCGUCAAACUUUAACUCUGGUAAUGCGAUAUUGUCCGAGUGCCAUUGAAUUAUAAAAACUUUCAACAACGGAUCUCUUGGUUCCA